GACAUAGGUGGCGAACGUUAUCCGGAUUUAUUGGGCGUAAAGGAUGCGUAGAUGGUGGAAUAAGUUAUUGGUCAAAGUCAAGCUCAACUUGGCGGAAGCUGGUAAUACUAUUCUACUUGAGGAUAGGAGAGGUUGGCGGAAUUCUGUGUGGAGCGGUGAAAUGCGUUGAUCUACAGAGGAACAUCAAAAAAGGCGAAGGCAGCCAACUAUUCUGUUCCUGACAUUGAGGCAUGAAAGCGUGGGGAGCAAACCGG
This 254-nucleotide ribosomal RNA is filed under the name uncultured bacterium. RNAcentral describes it as "partial 16S ribosomal RNA". It matches the Rfam family "Bacterial small subunit ribosomal RNA", at positions 524 to 776 of the family's 1533-position model. The record is from RNAcentral.